RNAcentral lists this ribosomal RNA (511 nucleotides) under uncultured bacterium. Its description in RNAcentral is "bacterial SSU rRNA". It matches the Rfam family "Bacterial small subunit ribosomal RNA", at positions 10 to 522 of the family's 1533-position model. The record is from RNAcentral.
ACUUUGAUUCUGGCUCGGGACGAACGCUGGCGGCGCGCCUAACACAUGCAAGUCGAGCGGGAAGCUUUUUAAGGAUUCUUCGGAUGAAUUAAAAAGUGGAGAGCGGCGGACGGGUGAGUAACGCGUGAGAAACCUGCCCUAUACAGGGGGAUAGCCAUUGGAAACGAUGAUUAAUACCCCAUAUGACCACAGUAUCGCAUGAUACAGCGGUGAAAACUCCGGUGGUAUAGGAUGGUCUCGCGUCUGAUUAGCUAGUUGGUGGGGUAACGGCCUACCAAGGCGACGAUCAGUAGCCGGCCUGAGAGGGUGACCGGCCACACUGGAACUGAGACACGGUCCAGACUCCUACGGGAGGCAGCAGUGGGGAAUAUUGCACAAUGGGCGAAAGCCUGAUGCAGCGACGCCGCGUGAACGAUGAAGGCUUUCGAGUCGUAAAGUUCUGUUCUUGGGGAAGAUAACGACGGUACCCAAGGAGAAAGCACCGGCUAAAUACGUGCCAGCAGCCGCGGUA